RNAcentral lists this ribosomal RNA (568 nucleotides) under Fusarium sp. SPN9. RNAcentral describes it as "eukaryotic LSU rRNA". The stretch from base 187 to 340 matches the Rfam family "5.8S ribosomal RNA". Lineage: Eukaryota; Fungi; Ascomycota; Sordariomycetes; Hypocreales; Nectriaceae. The record is from RNAcentral.
AAGGUCCUCCCGUUUGGUGACCAGCGGAGGGAUCAUUACCGAGUUUACAACUCCCAAACCCCUGUGAACAUACCAAUUGUUGCCUCGGCGGAUCAGCCCGCUCCCGGUAAAACGGGACGGCCCGCCAGAGGACCCCUAAACUCUGUUUCUAUAUGUAACUUCUGAGUAAAACCAUAAAUAAAUCAAAACUUUCAACAACGGAUCUCUUGGUUCUGGCAUCGAUGAAGAACGCAGCAAAAUGCGAUAAGUAAUGUGAAUUGCAGAAUUCAGUGAAUCAUCGAAUCUUUGAACGCACAUUGCGCCCGCCAGUAUUCUGGCGGGCAUGCCUGUUCGAGCGUCAUUUCAACCCUCAAGCCCCCGGGUUUGGUGUUGGGGAUCGGCGAGCCCUUGCGGCAAGCCGGCCCCGAAAUCUAGUGGCGGUCUCGCUGCAGCUUCCAUUGCGUAGUAGUAAAACCCUCGCAACUGGUACGCGGCGCGGCCAAGCCGUUAAACCCCCAACUUCUGAAUGUUGACCUCGGAUCAGGUAGGAAUACCCGCUGAACUUAAGCAUAUCAAUAGCCGGAGGAAA